UUUGAUGAAGAUACUAGAGCUUAAAUAAGGAAAGUGCAUACAAAUCUUUAUAUAUUUAGUCUUAUAUUAAUUAUAUAGUGGGUAUAUUUGAAUGCUUAUAUAGAAUUUAUAAAUUUUUUUUUGGAAGAAGGCUCGGAUCCGGAUAGGUAGUGUUGUUGGAAUUUGGACCCGAGGGUGACCGUCGGCUGAGGAGGGAGGAGCUCCGGCGAGAAUCGACGUCGAACGGCGGUCCGGCUGGCGCGCGACGUCCUCCGGAAAACCUGCAAGGAGCCGGUGGCCGGGGUUCCCGGCGCCGG
Molecule: long non-coding RNA, 296 nt
Filed under: Phoenix dactylifera (date palm)
Lineage: Eukaryota; Viridiplantae; Streptophyta; Magnoliopsida; Arecales; Arecaceae
Description: long non-coding RNA (PDAC_LNC020242)
Source: RNAcentral